GGGGUUGUGGCUCAGUAGUAGAGUGCUCGUCUAACAUAUGAAAGGCCCUGGGUUCAAUCCUCAGCACCACUU
Molecule: non-coding RNA, 72 nt
Organism: Ictidomys tridecemlineatus (thirteen-lined ground squirrel)
Lineage: Eukaryota; Metazoa; Chordata; Mammalia; Rodentia; Sciuridae
Source: Rfam